This 253-nucleotide ribosomal RNA is filed under the name uncultured bacterium. Its description in RNAcentral is "partial 16S ribosomal RNA". It matches the Rfam family "Bacterial small subunit ribosomal RNA", at positions 524 to 776 of the family's 1533-position model. The record is from RNAcentral.
UACGUAGGUGGCAAGCGUUGUCCGGAUUUACUGGGCGUAAAGAGCGCGCAGGCGGUCGUUCAAGUCGCGUGUGAAAGCCCCCGGCUCAACUGGGGAGGGUCACGCGAUACUGAUCGACUCGAAGGCAGGAGAGGGAAGUGGAAUUCCCGGUGUAGUGGUGAAAUGCGUAGAUAUCGGGAGGAACACCAGUAGCGAAGGCGGCUCGCUGGGCCAUUCCUGACGCUGAGACGCGAAAGCUAGGGGAGCGAACAGG